UCCCCCCUCUCUCUAUAUCUCCUCCCUCACUCGAUCCUGUGGCUAAAAAUCCUCGAACCCUCCUUCCCUCUCCCUCCACCCCCCUCCCCCCGACCAUCUUCUUGAGGUCACGAGGCGGAGAGCUCGAGAACCCGUUCUCGUCCGCCCCAUAUCCCUUCGAUAUUUUCCUCCGCUGCCUCCGCCGCCUCCGCCGGCGUCAUCGCCAUGUCCGCCCUGCAGGCCUCCCUCUUCCUCCGGCCCUCGCUGUUGCCACCCAUAUUCCGGCCUCCUAAACGCUCCUCCAUUCUUCUUUCUGGCGCCAUCCGCCGCCCCGACGUCUCCGGCGGGUCUCUUCUUCUCUCCCCUCCCCAAAUCCCUCUCCCACCGCCGCCUCGCCCCCGUUCCCCGCGCAUUGCCGCAGGAGAACACGGAUUCGGCGCGGGAACCCUUUUUGUCUGGCCAAGAAUCGAUCUUGGACUCAGAUUACCCCCAAGGCUCCGACCUUUUGCAAGAAACCGGCGAGGAGGCGUCGAGAGGGGAGCCCGAGGCUGUCUUGGAGGUUGGGGCGGUCGGAGAUAGGCAAGAACUGGAAUUUGGUCGUCAGGUGGUGGAGAAGAAGGAGACGAGGAAUAGAUUACCGCUGGUGGCGUUCUUGCUUGGGGUGAUGGCUUCGUUGAGGAGGGUUUUCGAUGCUGUGAUGAUGUCGGAGUGGCUGAGCUGGUGGCCGUUUCGGGCAGCAGGAGAAGAGGUUGGAACGCCUCAUUGCGGAAGCUGAUGCAAACCCUAGAGAUGCCGCGAAGCAGAACGCUCUCCUUGCCGAACUCAAUAGGCACAGUCCUGAAUCAGUCAUCAGACGUUUUGAGCAAAGGAAUCAUGCAGUAGAUAGUAAAGGAGUUGCAGAAUAUCUUCGAGCUCUUGUUGUCACCAAUGCUCUCGCAGAAUAUCUUCCAGAUGAGCAAUCUGGAAAGCCUUCCAGUCUCCCAACACUGCUGCAAGAGUUGAAGCAACGCGCAUCUGGAAAUCAGGAUGAGCCAUUUUGAACCCUGGAAUAUCGGAGAAACAU
This is a non-coding RNA of Phoenix dactylifera (date palm), 1042 nucleotides long. The record is from RefSeq and is a predicted model, not a curated record. NCBI's taxonomy places the organism in Eukaryota, Viridiplantae, Streptophyta, Magnoliopsida, Arecales, Arecaceae.